GGUACAAAAUGAGAAGGAUAAAGUGAAUGCUGGGACAUUUGAACCCUUUGACUGGGACUGAUUCAAGAGGAUAUCAUCUUCCAUAUACUGGUAGAAGCAGUGGCCGGGAGCACAUCAAUUUUCCAUUUCCAAGGGCUCGAAGUAGUCAAACAGUCAUGACCACAAUAAACAAUGCCCGGGAUCCAAGAAGAGCUUUUAGAAGAUGACUGAAGCCAAAGAGACUCAUGUAGUUUUUAAACUACAUGCCCUACAUGAACACUUAAUGCACUUUUAUUUAUUGUUAGCUGUGAAAAGCUUGUCUCUUACAGGUUUCCUGUUACAUUUUGGGUUUGUUAAAAAGAAUGACUGAUUUUUACUGCACAGUGUUGAGCUGUUUAGUUCCAUCCUGUUGCAGAAUAGGAACUCUGAAAGUGGGAACAUUUAUUUUUUAGAGCAAGACCUUACUGAUUAUCACCUGAAAACCUGUCCCUGUUUCAAGGGUGAGCUACUUAUGACACUAAUGUUUGCCAUAACAUUUCAUGGGAAAUGUUCUUUUGUUUUAACUGGGAUGUGGCCGGCGGAAGUGAUAGCAGCCCCAAGCAGAAGCCUGGCCGGUGCUGACAGUGCUUUCAGUGCUUAUGGACCAGGGACGACUGACUUAUAGAGUGACUGGCCUGCCAUUGAGAGUGUCCACGGACAGAAGCACAGCCUACAUUCUUGUUUAGUUGCCAGACAACCUGACUCUUAUCAGAAUUGUGCAAUACAAUGUGUAAUAUUACAAGUAGUUUUAGAAGAAAAUUGUAAGAUAAUGCUGUUUAUAUUUGUUAUAUACAAACAUUAAACUUAUUCUUAAGAAAAA
Molecule: long non-coding RNA, 838 nt
Organism: Mesocricetus auratus (golden hamster)
Lineage: Eukaryota; Metazoa; Chordata; Mammalia; Rodentia; Cricetidae
Exons: 2
Source: RefSeq, a predicted model, not a curated record